Molecule: transfer RNA, 71 nt
Filed under: Novibacillus thermophilus
Lineage: Bacteria; Bacillati; Bacillota; Bacilli; Caryophanales; Thermoactinomycetaceae
Rfam family: tRNA
About the family: Transfer RNA (tRNA) molecules are approximately 80 nucleotides in length. Their secondary structure includes four short double-helical elements and three loops (D, anti-codon, and T loops).
Source: Rfam by way of RNAcentral
AGGGGCGUAGUUCAAUGGUAGAACAGUGGUCUCCAAAACCAUCGAUGCGGGUUCGAUUCCUGCCGCCCCUG